Xenopus tropicalis (tropical clawed frog) is the source of this 584-nucleotide non-coding RNA. Lineage: Eukaryota; Metazoa; Chordata; Amphibia; Anura; Pipidae. The record is from the annotation of a RefSeq genome assembly.
GCUACUCAGCACAGAAAUCACCAUGAAGGAUAUAUUUUCUCUUCUGAUCCUGAUGAAACUUGUUUCAUGUGUCAUCUGUCAGAUUACUUUGGACCAGCCUGGCUCUGCAGUUGUGAAUCCAUCAGGAACCCUAAAACUUUCCUGCAAAGUCUCAGUGUCUGUAAGUAGUCAGCACUGGGCAUGGAUCUGGCAGGCUCCUGGGAAAGGACUGGUGUAUAUUGGUUUAUUAAACAGCGGCGGGAGCUCUAUCCCAGCCCCCUCAUUUCAAAGUCGAGUCACUUUCACCAGGGACACCUCAAAGAACGAGAUUUACUUACAAAUGACCAGUAUGAAAAGUGAAGACUCUGGGACAUAUUACUGUGCAAGAUACACAGUGACAGAAGGAAGUGAAAACUGAUUUUAAAACCUUAUCCUGAGACGUUAACAGGAGAGUGGUUACAGGAAUGCAGAACAUAACAAAUAGAAAAUUACUUUGAAUUGCUUCAUCAGCUCUAAUCCUAUUCCUUGAUUGAUUUAAAUGUGUCCAAUUCCCAUCAAAGUGCAUAUGCAACUGCACACGUUUUAAUGCAUUGACCACUAUUGUG